AUGGCCAUACCACAUUGAAAACACCGGUUCUCGUCCGAUCACCGAAGUUAAACAAUGUCGGGCCUGGUCAGUACUUGGGAGGGUGACCGCCUGGGAACACUGGGUGCCGUAGGCC
RNAcentral lists this ribosomal RNA (115 nucleotides) under Cordylochernes scorpioides. The record is from RNAcentral. Lineage: Eukaryota; Metazoa; Arthropoda; Arachnida; Pseudoscorpiones; Chernetidae.